RNAcentral lists this RNase P RNA (378 nucleotides) under uncultured Sneathiella sp. Its description in RNAcentral is "Bacterial RNase P class A". It matches the Rfam family "Bacterial RNase P class A". Rfam says of the family: Ribonuclease P (RNase P) is a ubiquitous endoribonuclease, found in archaea, bacteria and eukarya as well as chloroplasts and mitochondria. Its best characterised activity is the generation of mature 5'-ends of tRNAs by cleaving the 5'-leader elements of precursor-tRNAs. The record is from RNAcentral. Lineage: Bacteria; Pseudomonadati; Pseudomonadota; Alphaproteobacteria; Sneathiellales; Sneathiellaceae.
AGAUGGCUGGAUGACUGCUGCGUAUCCUCGGAUGCGGAGAGGAAAGUCCGGGCUCCACGGAAAUACGGUGCCGGUUAAUGGCCGGCGGGGGCGACCCUAGGGAAAGUGCCACAGAAAGCAAACCGCCUGAUUUAUCGGGUAAGGGUGAAAGGGUGUGGUAAGAGCGCACCGCGCGCCUGGCAACAGGGGCGGCACGGUAAACCCCACCGGGAGCAAAACCAAAUAGGAACGGUCGGCGCAGGGCUUUGCUGCUGCGCAAGUAGGUUUUCCGGACUACCGUUCGGGUUGGUUGCAUGAGGUGCUUGGCAACAGGUACCCUAGAUGAAUGGUCAUCCAUCGAGAAAUCGAGGACAAAACCCGGCUUACAGGCCAUCUGGU